CGGCGAGUUACGAUUUGAUGCAAGGUUAAGCAGUAAAUGUGGAGCCGUAGCGAAAGCGAGUCUGAAUAGGGCGUUUAGUAUUUGGUCGUAGACCCGAAACCAGGUGAUCUACCCUUGGUCAGGUUGAAGUUCAGGUAACACUGAAUGGAGGACCGAACCGACUUACGUUGAAAAGUGAGCGGAUGAACUGAGGGUAGCGGAGAAAUUCCAAUCGAACCUGGAGAUAGCUGGUUCUCUCCGAAAUAGCUUUAGGGCUAGCCUCAAGUGAUGAUUAUUGGAGGUAGAGCACUGUUUGGACGAGGGGCCCC
This 308-nucleotide ribosomal RNA is filed under the name Staphylococcus aureus. RNAcentral describes it as "partial 23S ribosomal RNA". It matches the Rfam family "Bacterial large subunit ribosomal RNA", at positions 621 to 929 of the family's 2925-position model. Lineage: Bacteria; Bacillati; Bacillota; Bacilli; Caryophanales; Staphylococcaceae. The record is from RNAcentral.